Molecule: ribosomal RNA, 2275 nt
Filed under: human gut metagenome
Description: bacterial LSU rRNA
Rfam family: Bacterial large subunit ribosomal RNA
Source: RNAcentral
AGCCCCUGCAGUGGGGUGACUGCGUACCUUUUGCAUAAUGGGUCAGCGACUUACGUUCAAUGGCAAGCUUAACCGAGUAGGGGAGGCGCAGCGAAAGCGAGUCCGAACAGGGCGAUAUGAGUCGUUGGGCGUAGACCCGAAACCAGAUGAUCUAUCCAUGGCCAGGCUGAAGGUGUGGUAACACACACUGGAGGGCCGAACCGACUAGUGUUGCAAAAUUAGCGGAUGAGCUGUGGAUAGGGGUGAAAGGCUAAACAAAUCUGGAGAUAGCUGGUUCUCCCCGAAAACUAUUGAGGUAGUGCCUCGUGUGUCGCUCCAGGGGGUAGAGCACUGUUAUGGCUAGGGGGACAUGGCGUCUUACCAAACCAUGGCAAACUCCGAAUACUUGGAAGUCUGAGCACGGGAGACAGAGCACCGGGUGCUAACGUCCGGACUCAAAAGGGAAACAACCCAGACCGCCGGCUAAGGUCCCUAAUAUUGACUAAGUGGAAAACGAAGUGGGAAGGCUAAGACAGUCAGGAAGUUGGCUUAGAAGCAGCCAUCCUUCAAAGAAAGCGUAAUAGCUCACUGAUCGAGUCCUCAUGCGCGGAAGAUGUAACGGGGCUAAGUCAAUAACCGAAGCCGCGGAUUCGCAGCAAUGCGAGUGGUAGGGGAGCGUUCUGUAAGCCUGCGAAGGUGUGCUGUGAGGCAUGCUGGAGGUAUCAGAAGUGCGAAUGCUGACAUAAGUAACGAUAAAGCGGGUGAAAAGCCCGCUCGCCGGAAGACCAAGGGUUCCUGUCCAACGUUAAUCGGGGCAGGGUGAGUCGACCCCUAAGGCGAGGCCGAAAGGCGUAGUCGAUGGGAAACAGGUUAAUAUUCCUGUACUUGGUGUUACUGCGAAGGGGGGACGGAGAAGGCUAUGUUGGCCGGGCGACGGUUGUCCCGGUUUAAGCGUGUAGGCUGGUUUUCCAGGCAAAUCCGGAAAAUCAAGGCUGAGGCGUGAUGACGAGGCACUACGGUGCUGAAGCAACAAAUGCCCUGCUUCCAGGAAAAGCCUCUAAGCAUCAGGUAACAUCAAAUCGUACCCCAAACCGACACAGGUGGUCAGGUAGAGAAUACCAAGGCGCUUGAGAGAACUCGGGUGAAGGAACUAGGCAAAAUGGUGCCGUAACUUCGGGAGAAGGCACGCUGAUAUGUAGGUGAAGCGACUUGCUCGUGGAGCUGAAAUCAGUCGAAGAUACCAGCUGGCUGCAACUGUUUAUUAAAAACACAGCACUGUGCAAACACGAAAGUGGACGUAUACGGUGUGACGCCUGCCCGGUGCCGGAAGGUUAAUUGAUGGGGUUAGCGGCAACGCGAAGCUCUUGAUCGAAGCCCCGGUAAACGGCGGCCGUAACUAUAACGGUCCUAAGGUAGCGAAAUUCCUUGUCGGGUAAGUUCCGACCUGCACGAAUGGCGUAAUGAUGGCCAGGCUGUCUCCACCCGAGACUCAGUGAAAUUGAACUCGCUGUGAAGAUGCAGUGUACCCGCGGCAAGACGGAAAGACCCCGUGAACCUUUACUAUAGCUUGACACUGAACAUUGAGCCUUGAUGUGUAGGAUAGGUGGGAGGCUUUGAAGUGUGGACGCCAGUCUGCAUGGAGCCGACCUUGAAAUACCACCCUUUAAUGUUUGAUGUUCUAACGUUGACCCGUAAUCCGGGUUGCGGACAGUGUCUGGUGGGUAGUUUGACUGGGGCGGUCUCCUCCUAAAGAGUAACGGAGGAGCACGAAGGUUGGCUAAUCCUGGUCGGACAUCAGGAGGUUAGUGCAAUGGCAUAAGCCAGCUUGACUGCGAGCGUGACGGCGCGAGCAGGUGCGAAAGCAGGUCAUAGUGAUCCGGUGGUUCUGAAUGGAAGGGCCAUCGCUCAACGGAUAAAAGGUACUCCGGGGAUAACAGGCUGAUACCGCCCAAGAGUUCAUAUCGACGGCGGUGUUUGGCACCUCGAUGUCGGCUCAUCACAUCCUGGGGCUGAAGUAGGUCCCAAGGGUAUGGCUGUUCGCCAUUUAAAGUGGUACGCGAGCUGGGUUUAGAACGUCGUGAGACAGUUCGGUCCCUAUCUGCCGUGGGCGUUGGAGAAUUGAUUGGGGCUGCUCCUAGUACGAGAGGACCGGAGUGGACGCACCACUGGUGUUCCGGUUGUGUCGCCAGACGCAUUGCCGGGUAGCUAAGUGCGGAAGAGAUAAGUGCUGAAAGCAUCUAAGCACGAAACUUGCCAAGAGAUGAGUUCUCCCAGAUUAUAAAUCUGUAAGGGUUGU